Molecule: ribosomal RNA, 467 nt
Filed under: uncultured bacterium
Lineage: Bacteria
Description: bacterial SSU rRNA
Rfam family: Bacterial small subunit ribosomal RNA
Source: RNAcentral
ACGAACGCUGGCGGCGUGCUUAACACAUGCAAGUCGAACGGUGACCUCGGAGCUUGCUCCGGGCGAUCAGUGGCGAACGGGUGAGUAACACGUGAGUAACCUGCCCCAGACUCUGGGAUAACAUCGGGAAACCGGUGCUAAUACCGGAUAUGAGACGAGACUGCAUGGUCAUCGUCUGGAAAGAUUUAUCGGUCUGGGAUGGACUCGCGGCCUAUCAGCUAGUUGGUGAGGUAAUGGCUCACCAAGGCGACGACGGGUAGCCGGCCUGAGAGGGCGACCGGCCACACUGGAACUGAGACACGGUCCAGACUCCUACGGGAGGCAGCAGUGGGGAAUAUUGCACAAUGGGCGCAAGCCUGAUGCAGCAACGCCGCGUGGGGGAUGAAGGCCUUCGGGUUGUAAACCCCUUUUAGCAGGGAAGAAGCGAAAGUGACGGUACCUGCAGAAAAAGCGCCGGCUAACUACGU